Molecule: ribosomal RNA, 1414 nt
Filed under: Staphylococcus aureus
Lineage: Bacteria; Bacillati; Bacillota; Bacilli; Caryophanales; Staphylococcaceae
Description: partial 23S ribosomal RNA
Rfam family: Bacterial large subunit ribosomal RNA
Source: RNAcentral
ACCCAGCAUGAGUUAUGUCAUGUUAUCGAUAUGUGAAUACAUAGCAUAUCAGAAGGCACACCCGGAGAACUGAAACAUCUUAGUACCCGGAGGAAGAGAAAGAAAAUUCGAUUCCCUUAGUAGCGGCGAGCGAAACGGGAAGAGCCCAAACCAACAAGCUUGCUUGUUGGGGUUGUAGGACACUCUAUACGGAGUUACAAAGGACGACAUUAGACGAAUCAUCUGGAAAGAUGAAUCAAAGAAGGUAAUAAUCCUGUAGUCGAAAAUGUUGUCUCUCUUGAGUGGAUCCUGAGUACGACGGAGCACGUGAAAUUCCGUCGGAAUCUGGGAGGACCAUCUCCUAAGGCUAAAUACUCUCUAGUGACCGAUAGUGAACCAGUACCGUGAGGGAAAGGUGAAAAGCACCCCGGAAGGGGAGUGAAAUAGAACCUGAAACCGUGUGCUUACAAGUAGUCAGAGCCCGUUAAUGGGUGAUGGCGUGCCUUUUGUAGAAUGAACCGGCGAGUUACGAUUUGAUGCAAGGUUAAGCAGUAAAUGUGGAGCCGUAGCGAAAGCGAGUCUGAAUAGGGCGUUUAGUAUUUGGUCGUAGACCCGAAACCAGGUGAUCUACCCUUGGUCAGGUUGAAGUUCAGGUAACACUGAAUGGAGGACCGAACCGACUUACGUUGAAAAGUGAGCGGAUGAACUGAGGGUAGCGGAGAAAUUCCAAUCGAACCUGGAGAUAGCUGGUUCUCUCCGAAAUAGCUUUAGGGCUAGCCUCAAGUGAUGAUUAUUGGAGGUAGAGCACUGUUUGGACGAGGGGCCCCUCUCGGGUUACCGAAUUCAGACAAACUCCGAAUGCCAAUUAAUUUAACUUGGGAGUCAGAACAUGGGUGAUAAGGUCCGUGUUCGAAAGGGAAACAGCCCAGACCACCAGCUAAGGUCCCAAAAUAUAUGUUAAGUGGAAAAGGAUGUGGCGUUGCCCAGACAACUAGGAUGUUGGCUUAGAAGCAGCCAUCAUUUAAAGAGUGCGUAAUAGCUCACUAGUCGAGUGACACUGCGCCGAAAAUGUACCGGGGCUAAACAUAUUACCGAAGCUGUGGAUUGUCCUUUGGACAAUGGUAGGAGAGCGUUCUAAGGGCGUUGAAGCAUGAUCGUAAGGACAUGUGGAGCGCUUAGAAGUGAGAAUGCCGGUGUGAGUAGCGAAAGACGGGUGAGAAUCCCGUCCACCGAUUGACUAAGGUUUCCAGAGGAAGGCUCGUCCGCUCUGGGUUAGUCGGGUCCUAAGCUGAGGCCGACAGGCGUAGGCGAUGGAUAACAGGUUGAUAUUCCUGUACCACCUAUAAUCGUUUUAAUCGAUGGGGGGACGCAGUAGGAUAGGCGAAGCGUGCGAUUGGAUUGCACGUCUAAGCAGUAAGGCUGAGUAUUAGGCAAA